RNAcentral lists this ribosomal RNA (377 nucleotides) under Naididae sp. N3. RNAcentral's name for it is "SSU rRNA". It matches the Rfam family "Eukaryotic small subunit ribosomal RNA", at positions 18 to 385 of the family's 1831-position model. The record is from RNAcentral. Lineage: Eukaryota; Metazoa; Annelida; Clitellata; Tubificida; Naididae.
CAGUAGUCAUAUGCUUGUCUCAAAGAUUAAGCCAUGCAUGUCUAAGCACAAACUUUAACACGGUGAAGCUGCGAAUGGCUCAUUAGGUCACCCAUUAUUUCUUGGAUCGUACAAUCCUACUUGGAUAACUGUGGCAAUUCUAGAGCUAAUACAUGCGAGCAAGCUCCGACCCGUUCUCGGGAAAGAGCGCGUUUAUUAGAUCAAAACCAAUCGGGUCUUCGGGCUCGUACGUUUGGUGACUCUGGAUAACUUCGAGCGGAUCGCACGGGCUCGACCCGGCGACGUAUCUUUCAAGUGUGUGCCCUAUCAACUUUCGAUGGUACGCGAUAUGCCUACCAUGGUUGUAACGGGUAACGGGGAAUCAGGGUUCGAUUCCG